AGAGUUUGAUCAUGGCUCAGAACGUACGCUGGCGGCACGCCUAACACAUGCAAGUCGAACGCAGUAGCAAUACUGAGUGGCAAACGGGUGAGUAUAAUGUGGGAAUCUGCCUUUUGGUCUGGAUACACGGGGAAACUUGUGCUAAUACCGGAUAAGCCUUUACAGGGAAAGUUUUAAUGCCGAAAGAUGAGCCCGCACUUGAUUAGCUAGUUGGUAAGGUAAAAGCUUACCAAGGCAACGAUCAAUAGCUGUUCUUAGAGGAAGACCAGCCACAUUGGGACUGAGACACGGCCCAGACUCCUACGGGAGGCAGCAGUGGGGAAUCUUGCACAAUGGGGGAAACCCUGAUGCAGCGAUGCCGCGUGAGUGAAGAAGGCCUUUGGGUUGUAAAACUCUUUCGUCGGGGAAGAAAAUGACUGUACCCGAAUAAGAAGGUCCGGCUAACUUCGUGCCAGCAGCCGCGGUAAUACGAAGGGACCUAGCGUAGUUCGGAAUUACUGGGCUUAAAGAGCUCGUAGGUGGUUAAAAAAGUUGAUGGUGAAAUCCCAAGGCUCAACCUUGGAACUGCCAUCAAAACUUUUUAGCUAGAGUGUGAUAGAGGUAAGUGGAAUUUCUAGUGUAGAGGUGAAAUUCGUAGAUAUUAGAAAGAACACCAAAUGCGAAGGCAACUUACUGGGUCACUACUGACACUGAGGAGCGAAAGCAUGGGUAGCGAAGAGGAUUAGAUACCCUCGUAGUCCAUGCCGUAAACGAUGUGUGCUAGACGUUGGAAAUAUAUUUUUCAGUGUCGCAGCGAAAGCAUUAAGCACACCGCCUGGGGAGUACGACCGCAAGGUUAAAACUCAAAUGAAUUGACGGGGACCCGCACAA
RNAcentral lists this ribosomal RNA (870 nucleotides) under marine metagenome. RNAcentral describes it as "bacterial SSU rRNA". It matches the Rfam family "Bacterial small subunit ribosomal RNA", at positions 8 to 928 of the family's 1533-position model. The record is from RNAcentral.